RNAcentral lists this long non-coding RNA (4540 nucleotides) under Sus scrofa (pig). RNAcentral describes it as "lncRNA (ENSSSCG00015037595.1)". The record is from RNAcentral. Lineage: Eukaryota; Metazoa; Chordata; Mammalia; Artiodactyla; Suidae.
GGACUUAAUCAGUUUUUCAAUUUUCAUAUAUGGCUGCUGUGAGCUUUUAACCCUUUAGCCAGAGUCAAGUUUGACAGAAUUUCUGGUGUAUUUUUUAAAUUAAAAAAUACGUUAAAAUAAAAUUUUAAUAAUUAAAAAAAUUUAAUGCCUUGGCCUGAGCCCCAUUCCUGACUACAGCUUGGAGGCCAGGUCCACACAGAGGGAAGCCAGCUCUGUGAUGGGGCUGUCUUUGUGGCAGAAGUCAUGGCCACUCUGCUCCUUGAAUAGAAUUCCGUUCAUUACGUAGAUAUUGGGUAGAAACAGACAAGGCCAAGAGGGCUGACCUCCACUUGUCUUCCUCAAAGCCUGACAGCCCCCAGGGCUGGGCAGGGCCUGUCUGUAAGGAGAGAGGAAGUGACCAGACUCUUAGCCAGUCUCCAACCAGGGGUCCAGCUGGUGAAACCCUCUCUCCAUUUUUUCCACUAAGUUGCUCUGUCCCACGUGGAGUUUGACUGGCUGUCAGAAGCCGCCUUCUUCUCUCCCAUCCCCCAUCCUCCACGUGCCUUUGGUCCUCUGCUGCCCUCCCCUAGGCCAUCACCCACCCCGGAAAAGCCCAGGACAUCCUGCAAGCUCUCACAUCUACCUUGGCCUGGGCAGUAGCUUUAGUAUUUUAGAUUCCUGGAAAUAGCAGCAUCUCUAAGACAAAAUAUCCUUCUUCUUGCCAAAGCCUGUUUCAUCAGGCAGGACUUUACCGUAGCUCUACUGAUGAGGUUGCUCCGGAUUUGUUUUCCCAGAAACCUCUGCAGAAGAGGGCCUUCAAGAGAUGGGGGCAGAGAAAAGCCCACCCUGCCAUCAUCACCUAGGCAUGCCUGUGUGUGAGCGUUGGUUGCUAUGGCUUUCCCGCCGGAUGGUCAGCCUUGUGAAGGAGGGGUCCGUGUGUAUUCCCUUCCUGCUCCAUCCCCAGCACAGAGAAAGAGGAACAUAGUAGGAGCUGUAGAAAUAUUUGUUGAACAAAUGAAUAAAUAAAUGCUAAUGGUAAAUGCUAAUGAACUCAAUACCCAAACAUGCCGGUUGAUGGAUUAGGCCAUUAGUCAAACAUUACAGUGCAGGCUGGUAUUUGCAAAUCCCUCUUUGAUCCAGAACUUAUCAGGAGUGGGGAUGAUUUUCUCUCAUUAAGAGGCCUUACUGGUGAUAUUAUGUCUCUGGGAGCUCAUAGAGAAAAAUUAGGCUUUUUUGCACAAUGGACCUCCCUUUAAACUGAUUUAUCAAGGAAAAAAAUAUUAUUUUCACAUAAUAAUUUAGGGGGCAUGUUUUCCCUUAAGAAGCUCACUUAUGAACUGCAAUAAUGCUUUUAGCCCAGUCAUAGCAAUACUAAAUGCUGACACCCCUUCCCCCUGGCAGAGGCAGAGUGUUGGAAGGAAAUCCCCCUUUUAUGUUUCUAUCUGGGGGGAGUGAUGUCAUUUUGUCAACAAAGCUUUAAGAAACACGGCCUUCCGUGGCAUGUCCUGUCCGUGUGGCUUUGCUUUUGCCUUCUGUCUCCUCCGAGAGGACAAGUUGGUAAAUGAAAGGCUCCGUGACUGUCGUCCUGAGCUGGUACCUUUGCCACUGCUGGAGCCUAAAUAAGUGAGUUUCCAUGAGCAGGAAUGGCUGAUUCAUAAUUGGAUCACGUCAUUUCACAGUGCUGGAUUCACAGAGCAGGAAAAGGACAAUGAAGAGAUAAAACUUGGAGUUCCUGUUGGGGCUCAGCAGGUUAAGAACCUGACUUAGUAUCCAUGAGGAUGCAGGUUCAACCCCUGGCCCCGCUGAAUGGGUUAAGGAUCCGGUGUUGCCGUGAGCUGGGGUGUAGGUCACAGAUGCAGCUUGGAUCUGGCCAUUGCUGUGGCUGUGGUGUAGGCCAGCAGGGGCAGCUCUGAUUCGACCCCUGGCCUGGGAACUGCCAUAGGCUGCAGUGGACCCUAAAAAGAAAAAAGAGAGAGAAGGAGAGAGAGAAACCUAAUACCACCAGCAAAGUCCAGGACAGCCCUCCUUUUCUCAGGUGCAUUCCUAAGUGUCAAGAUGACAUUGUUUUUGAAAGAAGAGAAAACAAAAGCCCUGAACACAAUCUCCAAAUGGUGGAAGGGACCGGGGUGCUGUUUAACCAUCAGCCGUCCCCACAGAUGCCAGUCAAGGUGCCCUAGUAUCUGUGGCAGAUCUGAUUAGGUAACCCUGGGUGAUUUUGUUCUGGGAGCCCCUGAGCCCAGGAACACAGCCAGGGACUUACAUUUGCAGGUAGUUUAUAUGAGGAAUCUGAAGAUAAAAUGGAGAAAGCCAGAGCCAUGUCACAUCUUAGCAAGGACUCCAAAUAAGACUGGCCUAGGCAGAAGGAGGCUGGAUGGGUUGGUGAUUAGAUUUUUUUUUGCUUUUUAGAGCCACACCUGUGGCAUAUGGAAGUUCUCAGGCUAAGGGUUGAAUCUGAGCUGCAGCUCCCAGCCUACACCACAGCCCCAGCAAUGCCAGAUCUGAGCCUCAUCUGCAGUUUACACUGCAGCUCAUGGCAAUGCUGGAUCCUUAACCCACUGAGCGAGGCCAGGGAGCGAACCCACAUCCUCAUGGAUACUAGUUAGGCUCGUAACCCAAUGCGCCACACUCUGGUGAUUAGAUUAACUUAAUCUUAAUGCUGCCAGUCUUCCAACAGCCCACACUGCCUGCCUGACUGCCUGCAGCCAGAUGUGAGUUCUCAUCAGCCCCUAGGAGGACCCCAUUUCCAGAGGCUUGGGGGGGCAGAUGGUCCACCUCUCCACAGGGCUACCACCGUCCUGAGCCAAAUGCCAAAGGGAUAGAAAGAGAAACGCCACCUGGUGGGGGAGAUGUCAUCACUGUGAGCGAGCGCGGGCUGGACAGGAAGAGCUGGGGGUGGUACCUCAGGAUGCCUGUCUGCAGACGGGUCCCACUUCUGUGGAUGCUGGGGGCUGGUAUUUCAUCCACCUCCUCGCCCGAGUGGAUUGGAGAGGCUGGCCGGCCUCUAUCCAGACCAACCAGCACUUAUUAAAACCACAGCGCCAUCUAGUAUUGCCAGCUCCCUGCACCGGGUAUGGGGUGAAUAGUUGCUGCCGGAAAGAGGAAUGAAAGGCAAGAGCUGGAAGGAAGAAAGGGACAGAAGAAAUGACGGUGGGAAGCAAGUCAGAAAGAGAAAGACAGACACCAUAUGCUAUCACUUCCAUCUGGAAUCUCAUAUACGGCACAAAUGAACCUUUCCACAGAAAAGAAACUCAUGGACUUGGAGAACCGACUUGUGGUUGCCAAAGGGGAGGGAGUGGGAUGGACUGGGAACGCGGGGUUAAGAGGUGCAGACUGUUGCCUUUGGAAUGGAUAAGCCAUGAGAUCCUGCUGCAUAGCACCGGGAACUGUAUCUAGUCACUUGUGAUGGAGCCUGAUAAUGGGAGCAAAGAGGAUGUAUCCUUGUAUGUGUUACGGGGUCACCAUUGCUGUACAGUAGAAAAUUGACAGAAGACCGUAAAUCACCGAUAAUGGAAAAAAAAUUUUAGAAAAAGAAGCGAAGGUGAGGGUGGUGUUUCCUGCCUUCACGUGGUCACCCCGUCUCCUUCUCUGUGGGCCCUUCCUGAGCCCUGAUAGAACUAAUACCCACUUAGGACUUACCGUCUGUACUGUCUCCCUUGCCCCAUUCUUCACGACCUGUACUAGGUAAGAGCGUGCUAAGUAUCCCUUUGCUCCUUGGUUUCCUGUCUAGCCCCCCCUUUUAGCUUGUAAAGUUCCUAACAGUCGGACUGCUUUGGGGGGAUGUUCUCUGUUCUAGCACAGGACCCCCCCACACACCCAGAGCACAGGAAUGGGUGUGUCAUAUGUGUACAUUGGACCUGGUAGAUACUGACUAGCAGUGUGGCAUCAUGACCCAAAGCAUGGGCUUUGGGGCCAGGGCACCUAGGGCAAGUCCUGGCUCUGUCUGUCACCAGCUGUGCAGCCUUGGGAAGCAAUUUGACAUUUUUCUGUCUCAUUUUCCUCAGCUCUGUUGUAGCUUAGUCAUAGUAAAUACAUCAUGAGGCUUUUAGAAGGAUUGAGUAACCACGUAUAAAUGGCCUAAAAUAGUGACUAGGAUUAAAAAAGCACCCAAUCAAUGUGAGCUCUAGGAUGUGUGUGUGUGUGUGUGUGUUGUGUACAUAACACCAUGUGAGAGUAAUUGCUUGGGUUUACACACACACACACACACACACGGAUAUUUAAAUCAUGGGAGUGAAAAUUGAGGAAGAAUAAAAGUGGGAGGGAAGGAAUGAAGGACCAAAAGUAGCGGAUAAAGACCGAAAUGAUGAGAGAGAAGGAAGUUGGGUUGAGGGGAAGGAGCAGUGGCUUUGCGCUUUUUUAUCCGAAAGGAAACUUUAAUCCCCAAGGUGUUCUAAAUUUCCCAGAGUGAAGGUUCAGCAUAUACGAAGAAAGUUAACCGGUUCUAAAUUAAUAUAUGAAUUUGUAAUGAUGCCUUGAAGCUAAUCUUUUUAUCUAUGUAUUAUUUGGAAAUACAUCCAAUGUGAAAAGCCCACAAUUUGCCCCAAGCACUGGGUGACCAAAAAAA